This 573-nucleotide ribosomal RNA is filed under the name uncultured Tetragenococcus sp. Its description in RNAcentral is "bacterial SSU rRNA". It matches the Rfam family "Bacterial small subunit ribosomal RNA", at positions 90 to 648 of the family's 1533-position model. Lineage: Bacteria; Bacillati; Bacillota; Bacilli; Lactobacillales; Enterococcaceae. The record is from RNAcentral.
GCGGAGUGGCGGACGGGUGAGUAACACGUGGGGAACCUAUCCAUUAGCGGGGGAUAACACUUGGAAACAGGUGCUAAUACCGCAUACGGUUUUUUUUUCACCUGAAAGAAAGCUCAGAGGCGCUUUAUAGCGUCACUGAUGGCUGGUCCCGCGGUGCAUUAGCCAGUUGGUGAGGUAACGGCUCACCAAAGCAACGAUGCAUAGCCGACCUGAGAGGGUGAUCGGCCACACUGGGACUGAGACACGGCCCACACUCCUACGGGAGGCAGCAGUAGGGAAUCUUCGGCAAUGGACGCAAGUCUGACCGAGCAACGCCGCGUGAGUGAAGAAGGUUUUCGGAUCGUAAAGCUCUGUUGUCAGCAAAGAACAGGAGAAAGAGGCAAUGCUUUUUCUAUGACGGUAGCUGACCAGAAAGCCACGGCUAACUACGUGCCAGCAGCCGCGGUAAUACGUAGGUGGCAAGCGUUGUCCGGAUUUAUUGGGCGUAAAGCGAGCGCAGGCGGUGAUUUAAGUCUGAUGUGAACGCCCCCAGCUCAACUGGGGAGGGUCAUUGGAAACUGGAUCACUUGAGUG